UGGGGAAUAUUGGACAAUGGGCGCAAGCCUGAUCCAGCAAUGCCGCGUGUGUGAAGAAGGCCUUCGGGUUGUAAAGCACUUUUAUCAGGAGCGAAACGCUGUCGGCUAAUACCCGGCGGAACUGACGGUACCUGAGGAAUAAGCACCGGCUAACUUCGUGCCAGCAGCCGCGGUAAUACGAAGGGUGCAAGCGUUAAUCGGAAUUACUGGGCGUAAAGCGUGCGUAGGCGGUUUCUUAAGUCUGCUGUGAAAUCCCCGGGCUCAACCUGGGAAUGGCAGUGGAUACUGGGAGGCUAGAGUGUGUCAGAGGGUGGUGGAAUUCCCGGUGUAGCGGUGAAAUGCGUAGAGAUCGGGAGGAACAUCAGUGGCGAAGGCGGCCACCUGGGACAACACUGACGCUGAGGCACGAAAAGCGUGGGGAGCAAACAGGAUUAGAUACCCUGGUAGUCCACGCCCUAAACGAUGCGAACUGGAUGUUGGUCUCAACUCGGAGAUCAGUGUCGAAGCUAACGCGUUAAGUUCGCCGCCUGGGGAGUACGGUCGCAAGACUGAAACUUAAAUGAAUUGAC
RNAcentral lists this ribosomal RNA (569 nucleotides) under uncultured bacterium. Its description in RNAcentral is "partial 16S ribosomal RNA". It matches the Rfam family "Bacterial small subunit ribosomal RNA", at positions 355 to 914 of the family's 1533-position model. The record is from RNAcentral.